RNAcentral lists this ribosomal RNA (458 nucleotides) under uncultured bacterium. RNAcentral's name for it is "bacterial SSU rRNA". It matches the Rfam family "Bacterial small subunit ribosomal RNA", at positions 28 to 503 of the family's 1533-position model. The record is from RNAcentral.
GACGAACGCUGGCGGCGUGCUUAACACAUGCAAGUCGAGCGGUAAGGCCCUUUCGGGGGUACACGAGCGGCGAACGGGUGAGUAACACGUGGGUGACCUGCCCUCAGCUCUGGGAUAAGCCUGGGAAACUGGGUCUAAUACCGGAUAUGACUCCAUGACGCAUGUUGUGGGGUGGAAAGCCUUGUGCGGCUGAGGAUGGGCCCGCGGCCUAUCAGCUUGUUGGUGGGGUGANGGCCUACCAAGGCGACGACGGGUAGCCGGCCUGAGAGGGCGACCGGCCACACUGGGACUGAGACACGGCCCAGACUCCUACGGGAGGCAGCAGUGGGGAAUCUUGCGCAAUGGGCGAAAGCCUGACGCAGCGACGCCGCGUGAGGGAUGACGGCCUGGUGUAACUACUUCUACNCUCGACGAAGACGAGAGUGACGGUAGGAGACGAGAAGAAGACGACCGGACCG